AGUCUGAGCAGGGAUGGGUGGGUGUGGCCAGCUCCUGCUUGUUUUUCUUUAAAGAGCGGGUCAAUUGAGCCUCGGAGUCCUUCUCUACCCACGUAUCAAUUUUAAAAAAUGCAACAUUAGUAGGCGUUGCCUGGAGGACCGAGAGGGCGGAGCCGCGGCAGUGACGAAGACGACGGCUAACUAGACGAUGCUAGCUCCCUUCACUCUAUGCAGUUAUUAGAAGUGGAGGAUGUUUCUCCCCCUCCUUACCCAGACACUCGAGAAGAAAGGGACCAAGUCUAUUUGGAGGAGACAAGCGGACCUGAGCCUUAUUGUUGUGAGCUUGUGAGUUGCCUGUAACUCCCAGAACCGACCCAACAGAACCACCUCUGAACGUCCUCUGGUGUCUGCAGCUGGUCUCUGGUGUCUGCAGGUGGUCUCCUCUGCUGGUGCCAUCAGGAUCAGGAGCUUCCAGAAGAAUGUGCCUUUCAAUGACUCUUUCCUCCUUAUUUGUUAUAUUAAUUAAAUAAAUCUCAAUUUA
Molecule: non-coding RNA, 520 nt
Organism: Nothobranchius furzeri (turquoise killifish)
Lineage: Eukaryota; Metazoa; Chordata; Actinopteri; Cyprinodontiformes; Nothobranchiidae
Source: RefSeq, a predicted model, not a curated record